GACGAACGCUGGCGGCGUGCUUAACACAUGCAAGUCGAACGGAAAGGCCCUGCUUUUGUGGGGUGCUCGAGUGGCGAACGGGUGAGUAACACGUGCGUAACCUGCCCUUGACUUUGGGAUAACUUCAGGAAACUGGGGCUAAUACCGGAUAGGAGCUCCUGCUGCAUGGUGGGUGUUGGAAAGUUUCGGCGGUUGGGGAUGGACUCGCGGCUUAUCAGCUUUUUGGUGGGGUAGUGGCUUACCAAGGCUUUGACGGGUAGCCGGCCUGAGAGGGUGACCGGCCACAUUGGGACUGAGAUACGGCCCAGACUCCUACGGGAGGCAGCAGUGGGGAAUAUUGCACAAUGGGCGGAAGCCUGAUGCAGCAACGCCGCGUGCUGGAUGACUGCCUUCGGGUUGUAAACCGCUUUCGCCUGUGACGAAGCGUGAGUGACGGUAAUGGGUAAAGAAGCACCGGCUAACUACGUG
This 468-nucleotide ribosomal RNA is filed under the name uncultured bacterium. Its description in RNAcentral is "partial 16S ribosomal RNA". It matches the Rfam family "Bacterial small subunit ribosomal RNA", at positions 28 to 507 of the family's 1533-position model. The record is from RNAcentral.